UAAAGGUCGCACGACUGGCGGAUCAGGGGGAUACCCCAAGGGAGUGCGAACUGAUGAUUGAUUGCCGACCGCCUGGGCGCUCCGU
This 85-nucleotide non-coding RNA is filed under the name Paenalicyclobacillus ferrooxydans. RNAcentral describes it as "Alicyclobacillus ferrooxydans ZTP sequence". It matches the Rfam family "ZMP/ZTP riboswitch aptamer (pfl RNA motif)". From Rfam's summary of the family: Previously known as pfl RNA. The record is from Rfam by way of RNAcentral. Lineage: Bacteria; Bacillati; Bacillota; Bacilli; Caryophanales; Alicyclobacillaceae.